GAGUUCAAGAGUACGUGAAACUGCUUAGAGGUUAAGCCCGAUGAACCUGAAUAUCCGUUAUGAAAAAUUCAUCAUUAAUACUAUGAUAUUUAUAAUAUUAUAGAAAUAGUGUGCAAUUUUUUCAUAUAAGGACAUUGUAAUCUGUUAAUGUAAUAAAUAUUUAUUAAAAGAUCUUAUACACAAGUUUAGUCAAAUUAGUUAUUUUCGAAUUUCUAACAUAGAUUAAAUGUAUUUGAUUUAAUAAAUCAUUGACAGAUUUAAUUAUAAUAUAGUGCUUAAAUUUUGAACGAAAUUUUACAAUAAUAUGAUAAUUUAAUUUAUUAUAUUUAUUGUAUGCGCUUAUAUGAUUAACAAUGCGAUAGAUUCAGGAUACCUUCGGGACCCGUCUUGAAACACGGACCAAGGAGUCUAACAUAUGUGCAAGUCAUUGGGUAUUUUUAAUAAAACCCAAUGGCAUAAUUAACUUAACUGUUUUUUAAAUGGGAUUAGUUUAUAUUUUAUUAUGAAAUAUUAAUUCAAUCCCGGGGCGUUCUAUAUAGUUAUACAUAAUGAUAUUUAUAUUAUUUAUGCCUCUAACU
RNAcentral lists this ribosomal RNA (578 nucleotides) under Cheilosia hercyniae. RNAcentral describes it as "eukaryotic LSU rRNA". The record is from RNAcentral. Lineage: Eukaryota; Metazoa; Arthropoda; Insecta; Diptera; Syrphidae.